This 492-nucleotide ribosomal RNA is filed under the name uncultured bacterium. RNAcentral's name for it is "partial 16S ribosomal RNA". It matches the Rfam family "Bacterial small subunit ribosomal RNA", at positions 29 to 507 of the family's 1533-position model. The record is from RNAcentral.
AGUGAACGCUGGCGGUAGGCCUAACACAUGCAAGUCGAACGGCAGCACAGUAAGAGCUUGCUCUUACGGGUGGCGAGUGGCGGACGGGUGAGGAAUACAUCGGAAUCUACUUUUUCGUGGGGGAUAACGUAGGGAAACUUACGCUAAUACCGCAUACGACCUACGGGUGAAAGCAGGGGAUCUUCGGACCUUGCGCGAUUGAAUGAGCCGAUGUCGGAUUAGCUAGUUGGCGGGGUAAAGGCCCACCAAGGCGACGAUCCGUAGCUGGUCUGAGAGGAUGAUCAGCCACAAUGGAACUGAGACACGGUCCAGACUCCUACGGGAGGCAGCAGUGGGGAAUAUUGGACAAAGGGCGCAAGCCUGAUCCAGCCAUACCGCGUGGGUGAAGAAGGCCUUCGGGUUGUAAAGCCCUUUUGUUGGGAAAGAAAAGCAGCAGGUUAAUACCCCGCUGUUCUGACGGUACCCAAAGAAUAAGCACCGGCUAACUUCGUG